This 253-nucleotide ribosomal RNA is filed under the name uncultured bacterium. RNAcentral describes it as "partial 16S ribosomal RNA". It matches the Rfam family "Bacterial small subunit ribosomal RNA", at positions 524 to 776 of the family's 1533-position model. The record is from RNAcentral.
UACGAAGGGGGCUAGCGUUGUUCGGAAUGACUGGGCGUAAAGGGCGCGUAGGCGGCGGUCACAGUCAGAUGUGAAAUUCCUGGGCUUAACCUGGGGGCUGCAUUUGAUACGUGGUUGCUUGAGUGGGGAAGAGGGUCGUGGAAUUCUCAGUGUAGAGGUGAAAUUCGUAGAUAUUGGGAAGAACACCGGUGGCGAAGGCGGCGACCUGGUCCUUGACUGACGCUGAGGCGCGAAAGCGUGGGGAGCAAACAGG